UUACACAUGCAAGUCGAGGGGUAUAGUAGCAAUACUAGAGACCGGCGCACGGGUGCGUAACGCGUAUGCAAUCUACCUUUUACAGAGGGAUAGCCCAGAGAAAUUUGGAUUAAUACCUCAUAGUAUAGCGACCUGGCAUCAGGAUGUUAUUAAAGUCACAACGGUAAAAGAUGAGCAUGCGUCCCAUUAGCUAGUUGGUAAGGUAACGGCUUACCAAGGCGACGAUGGGUAGGGGUCCUGAGAGGGAGAUCCCCCACACUGGUACUGAGACACGGACCAGACUCCUACGGGAGGCAGCAGUGAGGAAUAUUGGACAAUGGGCGCAAGCCUGAUCCAGCCAUGCCGCGUGCAGGAUGACGGUCCUAUGGAUUGUAAACUGCUUUUGUACAGGAAGAAACCCUUUCACGUGUGAAAGAUUGACGGUACUGUAAGAAUAAGGAUCGGCUAACUCCGUGCCAGCAGCCGCGGUAAUACGGAGGAUCCAAGCGUUAUCCGGAAUCAUUGGGUUUAAAGGGUCCGUAGGCGGCCAGAUAAGUCAGUGGUGAAAGCCCAUCGCUCAACGGUGGAACGGCCAUUGAUACUGUCUGGCUUGAAUUACAAGGAAGUAACUAGAAUAUGUAGUGUAGCGGUGAAAUGCUUAGAGAUUACAUGGAAUACCAAUUGCGAAGGCAGGUUACUACUUGUGGAUUGACGCUGAUGGACGAAAGCGUGGGUAGCGAACAGGAUUAGAUACCCUGGUAGUCCACGCCGUAAACGAUGGAUACUAGCUGUUGGGAGCAAUCUCAGUGGCUAAGCGAAAGUGAUAAGUAUCCCACCUGGGGAGUACGGGCGCAAGCCUGAAACUCAAAGGAAUUGACGGGGGCCCGCACAAGCGGUGGAGCAUGUGGUUUAAUUCGAUGAUACGCGAGGAACCUU
RNAcentral lists this ribosomal RNA (915 nucleotides) under uncultured Flavobacteriaceae bacterium. Its description in RNAcentral is "bacterial SSU rRNA". It matches the Rfam family "Bacterial small subunit ribosomal RNA", at positions 49 to 972 of the family's 1533-position model. The record is from RNAcentral. Lineage: Bacteria; Pseudomonadati; Bacteroidota; Flavobacteriia; Flavobacteriales; Flavobacteriaceae.